Molecule: ribosomal RNA, 254 nt
Filed under: uncultured bacterium
Lineage: Bacteria
Description: partial 16S ribosomal RNA
Rfam family: Bacterial small subunit ribosomal RNA
Source: RNAcentral
UACGUAGGGGGCGAGCGUUGUCCGGAUUCAUUGGGCGUAAAGAGCUCGUAGGCGGUUCGGCAAGUCGGGUGUGAAAACUCCAGGCUCAACCUGGAGACGCCACCCGAUACUGCUGUGACUCGAGUCCGGUAGGGGACCACGGAAUUCCUGGUGUAGCGGUGAAAUGCGCAGAUAUCAGGAAGAACACCAAUGGCGAAGGCAGCUCUCUGGGACGGUACUGACGCUGAGACGCGAAAGCGUGGGGAGCGAACAGG